GGGUAAAUGAUGAUUGUUUUUCUCUGUAGGCUUUGUAGAGUUCUGGUAAAAUUGUGGGGAGAAUGUACGACAAUUGGUUUUCUUUUCGUGGUAAUUUGGUUCUAGUAAUUAUAUCAUGGAGUGGAAAUCUGUGGUUGUAUUUGGUUUUAUUUAAAUUUCGAUUUAGUUACUUUUCUGCUCAUGAUAACUGAUUGUAAAUUUGGUAGGAAUUAGUUUGAAUGUAGACAAACACCAGAGUUUAUGGGUGGAGGCAUUUUGAUAUGGUAAAUUCCUUAGAACAUUCUUGCAUUUGGGGGGUUCUGAAUGAUGAAGUAGCUCACAAAGUACAUUGAGAUGAAGAUGUUUGUAGAUGAAC
This 355-nucleotide unclassified non-coding RNA is filed under the name Hevea brasiliensis (rubber tree). Lineage: Eukaryota; Viridiplantae; Streptophyta; Magnoliopsida; Malpighiales; Euphorbiaceae. The record is from RNAcentral.